GGACCCGCACAAGCAGUGGAGCAUGUGGUUUAAUUCGACGCAACGCGAAGAACCUUACCAGCGUUUGACAUGAGAAGUGCCGGUUACAGAAUGGUAACCUUCAGUUCGGCUGGCUUCUACACAGGUGCUGCAUGGCUGUCGUCAGCUCGUGUCGUGAGAUGUUGGUUAAGUCCCGCAACGAGCGCAACCCUUAUCGUUAGUUACUAACAGUUCGGCUGAGGACUCUAGCGAAACUGCCGGUGAUAAGCCGGAGGAAGGUGGGGAUGACGUCAAGUCCUCAUGGCCCUUACACGCUGGGCUACACACGUGCUACAAUGGCCGGUACAGAGGGCAGCCACACCGCAAGGUGGAGCG
This 354-nucleotide ribosomal RNA is filed under the name uncultured bacterium. RNAcentral's name for it is "bacterial SSU rRNA". It matches the Rfam family "Bacterial small subunit ribosomal RNA", at positions 917 to 1269 of the family's 1533-position model. The record is from RNAcentral.